RNAcentral lists this ribosomal RNA (253 nucleotides) under uncultured bacterium. RNAcentral's name for it is "partial 16S ribosomal RNA". It matches the Rfam family "Bacterial small subunit ribosomal RNA", at positions 524 to 776 of the family's 1533-position model. The record is from RNAcentral.
UACAGAGGUCUCAAGCGUUGUUCGGAUUCAUUGGGCGUAAAGGGUGCGUAGGUGGCGCGCUAAGUCAGGUGUGAAAUUUCGGAGCUUAACUCCGAAACUGCAUUUGAUACUGGCGUGCUUGAGGACUGGAGAGGAGACUGGAAUUCAUGGUGUAGCAGUGAAAUGCGUAGAGAUCAUAAGGAAGACCAGUGGCGAAGGCGGGUCUCUGGACAGUUCCUGACACUGAGGCACGAAGGCCAGGGGAGCAAACGGG